AGGUGACCUGCGGAAGGAUCAUUACCUAGAGUUUGUAGACUUCGGUCUGCUACCUCUUACCCAUGUCUUUUGAGUACCUUCGUUUCCUCGGCGGGUCCGCCCGCCGAUUGGACAACAUUCAAACCCUUUGCAGUUGCAAUCAGCGUCUGAAAAAACAUAAUAGUUACAACUUUCAACAACGGAUCUCUUGGUUCUGGCAUCGAUGAAGAACGCAGCGAAAUGCGAUAAGUAGUGUGAAUUGCAGAAUUCAGUGAAUCAUCGAAUCUUUGAACGCACAUUGCGCCCCUUGGUAUUCCAUGGGGCAUGCCUGUUCGAGCGUCAUUUGUACCUUCAAGCUCUGCUUGGUGUUGGGUGUUUGUCUCGCCUCUGCGUGUAGACUCGCCUUAAAACAAUUGGCAGCCGGCGUAUUGAUUUCGGAGCGCAGUACAUCUCGCGCUUUGCACUCAUAACGACGACGUCCAAAAGUACAUUUUUACACUCUUGACCUCGGAUCAGGUAGGGAUACCCGCUGAACUUAAGCAUAUCAAUAAGCGGAGGAAAAGAAACCAACAGGGAUUGCCCUAGUAACGGCGAGUGAAGCGGCAACAGCUCAAAUUUGAAAUCUGGCGUCUUUGGCGUCCGAGUUGUAAUUUGCAGAGGGCGCUUUGGCAUUGGCAGCGGUCCAAGUUCCUUGGAACAGGACGUCACAGAGGGUGAGAAUCCCGUACGUGGUCGCUAGCCUUUACCGUGUAAAGCCCCUUCGACGAGUCGAGUUGUUUGGGAAUGCAGCUCUAAAUGGGAGGUAAAUUUCUUCUAAAGCUAA
RNAcentral lists this ribosomal RNA (802 nucleotides) under fungal sp. RNAcentral describes it as "eukaryotic LSU rRNA". The stretch from base 482 to 802 matches the Rfam family "Eukaryotic large subunit ribosomal RNA", at positions 1 to 319 of the family's 3401-position model. The record is from RNAcentral. Lineage: Eukaryota; Fungi.